This 4343-nucleotide long non-coding RNA is filed under the name Chinchilla lanigera (long-tailed chinchilla). RNAcentral describes it as "lncRNA (ENSCLAG00000024964.1)". Lineage: Eukaryota; Metazoa; Chordata; Mammalia; Rodentia; Chinchillidae. The record is from RNAcentral.
GGAAGAGUCAGGAAGGGGACUCCCAGGUUUCUGCGUGCUGUCAUCCAGCAGUGAUACCACUGCUAAGAUCAGAAACCGAGCCUUGAGAACAGGUUUGAGGGGGGCGUGGGGGCAGCUGAGCAGGAAGGGCCUCGGGACCUCGGAGCCGAGAUGUUCAGCUGGCAGGAUUUCCACCAACUGCUCCUCUCUUGCUUUCCCAAUGAUUCUUUCAGGCCACGCUGCCCAAGCCCUGGGACAAGAAAAAUCAUUCUGCUGCUUCCAAUGAUCUUACCGUGCUCCCUGCCUUAACGAGCCAACACACUGUCAUUCAUCAAGUUGCUGAGGACUCUGCCCACUGUGCCAUUUCCCCCUGGUUGUUUCAUUUUGUUCUGCAGUCCUGGGAACUGGACCCAGGGCCUUUGCUCUGAGCUACAUCCCCAGAUAGUUAUCAUUAUUAUUAUUACUACUAUUGAAAUAGGGUUGUGCUAAAUUGCCCAGGCUGAGCUCAGAUUUGAGAUUGUCAGCCCAGUGUGGUGGUGCACACCUGUAAUCCCAGCACUCAGGAGGCUGAGGCAGGAGGAUCUUUGCAAGUUCGAGACCAGCCUGGGCUACAAAGUGAGCUCAAGUCCAGCCUGAACUGCAUAUGAGACCCUGUCUCAAAAAGAACAACAACAACAAAAAAUCCGGCACACACACACACACACACACACACACACACACCCUCACUCACAAAGACUGACAUGAAAGCUCAAAGCAGACCUUCCCAUUAGGUUUAAGAACUUUCACUGCAGGAGGACGGCUAUUGUGAUGACAGCACUGUUACCCCACACAGCCUUCUUCCCACGGAACACAAGCCCUUCUGGGACCUGGCCUCUGCCCUGUUCUGCUCAUCUGCUGCCAACACCGCCCCAUCCUCUUCCCAGACCCGGGCCCAGGCUUCCUGAGCCUCCCUGUUCCUGUCUGGCCCGUGACACCAGCCCUGCUUCUCACGCCGUCCCCAGCUGCAGGUUCCCGCAGCAAACGCUCUCUCAGCCUUCAGGGCUCCUUCAGUGCUUCCCUGUCUGUGAAGGCUUCUCCUCCACGCUCCUGCUCCAUCUCAGCUGCUGCUGCUUUUCUUGCCUUCUAGAAUUUACAGCAACGCAGUUCCCACAGCAGUCUUUGCCGAGAGGGCUCGAUUCAAUAGCUUGGUUAGCAAACCCCGCAGCGGCACGUCUCACUCCCAGAGCAAAGCGAUCGCGGGUGCUCGAGGGCACACGGGCUGACGGCGCCGCAGCGGCCAUGCCCUGGCCUGAGCAUCCUCUCUUCGGACCCAUUUUCUCCCGGACAAUUUCCUUUAUUAAACGGCUGCAGCUGCAAUUAACAGUGGGAGAACCCAAGCAUGUGUCUGGGUCCGAGAGGCGUCCUAUGUGAUUUUUCAAAUACUUUGGGUUUGGCAAAAGCCAAGACACAUUCUGUCAAGUUCUAUUUUCCCCUUCGUCUUUAAACCCGUGUGUAUUCAAGAGAAAUGUGGUCCAUCUGAUUCUCAUUCAUUUUCGCUUAACUCAACAAAAAGUUGUCUUGGAAGCACCAGAAAAUGUCCAAGCAGCAAAUCCAGCCGCUCUAACGGAAGCCUGGUUAGAGCACGGGUGGCUCUCGACCCCGGACAGCCCGACACCCUCCGGGCAGGCCGAGCCUCUCUUCUGCACUCUGCUCUGGCACUGGCUCAGCAAGCUGGCCUUGCCCUGGCCCUCCGCCCUGUCCCUGCCUGGUGACUCUGCUCCUCCAAGCCGGGUCCCGGGUCAGCUCCUGCGAGAGCGCUUUCCUCAUUGCCCGACCUGUAAAUAACCGCAGCGUCCUCUGAGUUCCCUGCGACAGGUCCUCCUCCUGCCACGGAGUCCUCCCCUCCAUCCCGCUCUGAGCUGCAGUCGGUCGGUGAACUGAUGUCUGCUUGUGUUAAGCCCUUGACCUUAAUUAAAGGCCUUCACGAGCAAUGGCAGACAAAAAUUGGCAUUUGUGGUAAAGCUCUUGCCAAAAACAUUCAUUAUUGUGUCUAUCAAUGUCCCUCUGUGGGCAGCCAGGUGAGAAGUGAACUUGAGGUUUCAGGACAGAAAUAAUCAUGGACUUCUUCCUCUCUGAUAAUGAGCGCUGGGGAACUUAGCUUGUUCCUUUUUUUGGCUUGGCUGCCAGGAAGCUGAGAGACUGAUUUGAUGUUUAAUCCUAGCAACUAUAUCACAUGCCAGCUUCCUUUUUUUUUUUUUUUUUAUGGACUUUGUUUUCUAUUUCUAUAUUAUUAACAUUGUAAAGGAAAAGAAAACAAAUUUCACCGUGAGUUACUUUGAAGUGUCUGUAAAAUGGCAGAGUAAAAUAUUAAGAAGCUAUUCAGGAUGGUUUCAUCUGCAGAAUGGGUCUAGUACUUAGGACUUAAGAGGAAAUGUUUUGUUUUAAUCUUUUGUUUGUUCUUGGAGACAGGGUCUCUCUAUGUAUUUCAGGCUGACCUUGAACUCAUAGUAAUCCUCCUGCCUUAGCCUCGAAGAGUACUAGGACUACAGGUGUACACCACCACACUUGGCCUGUUUUUAAUCCUAAGAAAUUCAUGGAGAGGGGCAGUGUGAUGGUGCACACCUCAGGAGGCUAAGGCAGGAGGAUCUUUUUUGAAUUUGAGAUCAGCCUGGGCUACAUAGUGAGUCCAAGUCCAGCCUGAACUACAUGAAAACAACCCAUCUCAAAAAAGAAAGAGAUAGGGAGGGAGAGAAGGAAGGAAGGAAGGAAGGAAGGAAGGAAGGAAGGAAGGAAGGAAGGAAGGAAGGAAAGAAAGAAAGAAAGAAAGAAAGAAAGAAAGAAAGAAAGAAAGAAAGAAAGAAAGAAAGAAAGAAAAAAGAAAGAAAAUAUUGGGUACUAUAUUAAAAUGAAAGCAGAGCCAGUAAGAACUGGGUGGACAAGAGCUUUUUUCUUCUUUUCUUUUCUUUUGAUAUUGGGAAUUGAACUCAGGACCUCGCACUUACCAGGCAGGUGCUUGUGCCGCUGAGCUAUAUCCCUGGCCAACAACAGGUCUUUUCUAAUGGUCAAAGCAGCUUCCCAAGCUCAGCUUUCAGCAGAGCUGCAUUGGGGCUGUGGAACACCUGUCUUGAAAGCCAGCAGCUCUGGAGUUCCCCUCACUUCUCAGGUUGAGAAUAUCUAGGCGGGGGUCAUCCUGACGACCGAGGUCAAGAACUAAUCUAGGUCUGAGGUGAGCUCGGCGGCGUAACACUUGCCUAGAACGUGCGAGGCCCUGGGUGCACUUCCCAGCACUGCAGGAAAAUGGAACAGAACUGAUCUAAUACCAGAUGAAUGUUCUGAGCCACCAAGGACUCGCUCCACUCCCUCCUCCACGUCACCGAGGAGGAGCUGGACCUGGAAGCAGCGAGGACAGACCCGAGCUCACGUGCCUGGGAGCCGAGGGAAGACUGCAGGACAGGCCUUCCAGCCCCGGGGCUCCGCAGGGCGCCCUGCCCUGGGCCGGACAGGACCACCGGCCGGCUGCUCCCCGCCUCCCCGGCUGGGGGCAGAGCUGAUGUGCUGCAGCUUUGCUUUCAGAUCGGCUGUUUGUGAUCCAGGUACACUGACUGCAGCCUGUUACCUCUCAGGGCUUUUCCUCUUCCCACCUACGUGCAGUAUCUGGCACUAUUUUUUCCUUUAAAUAUCAACUAAGUUUUUAGGUAAUCCAAACUGACUGUGUCAGAGUGUUGCUACUGCUGUUGUUGGGUUUUUGGGGGUUGGUUUUUUUUUUUUUUUGGUCUUUUUGAGACAGUCUCUUUAUGCAGUUCAGGCUGGCCUUGAGCUCACUCUGUAGCCCAGGCUGGUCUCGAACUCACAAUGAUCCUCCUGCCUCAGCCUCCCAAGUGCUGGGAUUACAGGUGCACGCCACCACGCCCGGCUUGUUGUUGUUUUUUGAGACAGGUCUUUCACUGGGUCGUCCAGGCUGGCCUCGAAUUUGCCAUGUCAUCAUUACACACCAAUCAAAAUAAAAAGUUUAAAAAUCAAAAAAAAAACUGCAGUGUAGCCCAGGCUGGUCUCCUGCCUCAGCCUCCUGUGUGUUGAAAUUAUAGGUGUUUGCUGCCACACUCAGCUCACAGUGGUCUUAAAUCCCAAGAUAGGAAUACUUGGCCGGCACCUCAGCUCCCUGAGGGCAAGAACUAUGUCCUAUCUGUGAGAUCCCAGUGUCAAAGCCAGUGUCGGGCUCACAGUAGGUCAGCAAAAUCAGAUUCCGUCUGAAAUCACAAUUUGAAGUUGGAACCACAAAGAGCCGAAUUAGAGUUCUUGGGCAAAAGCUUACAUGGGCCUCAGUGGGCCUCGAUAUCAAUAUUGGGGGCAGGGUUGACACAUGAUCUCACUGUAUAGUUCAGGCU